UACGUAGGGUGCAAGCGUUAAUCGGAAUUACUGGGCGUAAAGCGUGCGCAGGCGGUGAUGUAAGACAGUUGUGAAAUCCCCGGGCUCAACCUGGGAAUUGCGAUGGAGACUGCAAGGCUUGAAUCUGGCAGAGGGGGGUAGAAUUCCACGUGUAGCAGUGAAAUGCGUAGAGAUGUGGAGGAACACCGAUGGCGAAGGCAGCCCCCUGGGUCAAGAUUGACGCUCAUGCACGAAAGCGUGGGGAGCAAACAGG
This 253-nucleotide ribosomal RNA is filed under the name uncultured bacterium. RNAcentral describes it as "partial 16S ribosomal RNA". It matches the Rfam family "Bacterial small subunit ribosomal RNA", at positions 524 to 776 of the family's 1533-position model. The record is from RNAcentral.